AAAAGAUUAAAAUUUUUAAAAUAUAUUUCUUCCCAUUUUUAAUCAAUUUCCAUGAACAAGAACAUAGUUUCUAUUUAAAGCAAAAUAAAGAAUUUUAGUUAUUUUGCAUGUGAAUACCUCCCCAGUAGACUAUGUAUAAUCUAUCCCUGAACACUUGGAAAGAAGGUAAUUAAUACUCCCUGAGACAACUGUCUCCAAAUGGAACCCAACUUGAUCAUAAGUCUGUAGGCAAUGGAUGGUCUGUGGGGAUGACACUUGCAUAUCAUCCCCAGAUGAGAUUAUUCAUGGCUGCAUUAUAGCAUCCAGCAGCUCCCACUGAUUAGUGGGAACAAAACACAUGGAUUUACUUUCAACAUGAGCAUGUCAAGUGGGAUUGAAAAGGAAAAAUGAUAGAGCAUUUCUAAUGAAAUGGAUAAGAAAGUGCCAAAGGUAGAGGAGGGAAUGAGAGGGAUCCUUUCAGAAGCAGAUAUCAUUUAUAGAGAGAUGGGUGAAGAGUUUUUGGUUCUAUGAAGAUUAGGCGGACUUACCUUGAGGAGGAUUUUCUGGGUAGGACUGGAGACUUGUCCUCGUGUUUUGGUGGUUAGGUAAAGUAAUGUAAGAGGCAAAAGAAUGAACUGCAAGAAUUUUGAGGUUGAUUUAGUAAAAUUAUUCAUAAGUUAAGAAGCAAAUAUUCAGUCAUUCUUCAGGCCAGUGAUGGGUGAAAUUUUUAGGAUAUACCAGAUAUCAAAACAAAUAAUGAUCUUUGUCUUCAUGUGCCAAAUCUGUUAAAUUCUGAUCAUCACAUUUAAUACUUUGAAUAAUUCUAUAAAAUAGACAUUAUUGUUUCUAUUCCACAGCUAAGGAAACUGAGGCCUGAACACAAUAAGAAUCUUGUUCAAAGUCUUACUGGCUCUAAAAUUGUACUUUUUACUCCCCAUAUUCUGAAAUUUUAGCUGCUUUACCAUCCAAACUUCUUAGAAAAUGAGAUUGAGUUUUCUAGUUCAUAAUGAGAUACACACUUCAAGACACCCCUAAUAUCCUGUGUCAGAACAAAAGAUAAAAGUUUUAAAAAUAUAUUAUUUAUAUAUAUCCUAUAUUAUUCCAAACACAUAAGAGUCAUGUAAAUAAUUAGCUGGAUUCUCACCUCUAAUAACUCAAUAGAGUGUACCAGGUUAUAUAGGGAAUCAAUAUUUUUUUCCGUAUGAUCUGAUAAAAGAGAACAGCCCUUAUGCAGAAUUACUUUAAUCACUACAGAGGGGAAAGUUUCAAUGGAAAUGCCUAUGUCAGCCUAUCUUCAGGAUUCACUGGCAAAAACUAUUUGUUGCUGUCAUUUCUUUACCCUUUUAUAGCUGAUGUGUGCCUGUGUUUUUUUUAAGAGAUAGAGAGAAUUCUAAUAUUUAUUUUUUAGUUUUCGGCAGACACAACAUCUUUGUUUGUAUGUGGUGCUGAGGAUUGAACCUGGGCCGCACGCAUGCCAGGCUAGCGCGCUACCUCUUGAACCACAUCCCCAGCCCUGUGCCUGUGUUUAAAGUUAGGCAUUCCAAGAGUUCUUAGGCCAAGGAUUGUUGAAAUAGACUAUCACUUUUCUGUGACCCAUCCCACAGCUCUUUUUUUACAGAGGUCACAUGUACACAGCAUGUGUCUUAAUAUAGGUGACUUCUUCCCUUAGUGUCACAUGGUCCUUCUUUCUAAUGUCAGCUGAAGGGACCUCUUUCCCAUGUUGUGUUAAGCUUCCACAACCAGGCGCUAGAGAGUGACAUGACUUUCCAGUAUACAAACAGCCGUAGGUGUUUCCUCAAACUAGGAAUUUGUAUUUUGGGGGUUUUUACUCUUGUGUAUUUGGUAUUGUGAUGGUCCCUGUUUCAAGUGUAAGAAAAGGAAGUGUUCAUGAUGAAGGAAAUGUUCUAUUAGAAAGUCGCAUACUUAUAAUACUUAAGUCUCUCUCUCUCUCUCUCUCUCUCUCUCUCUCUCUCUCUCUCUCUCUCUCUGGUAGUACUGGGAGUAGAACCCAGGGUACUCUACAACUGAGCUACAUCCCAGCCUUUUAAAUUUUUUUUUAUUUUGAGGCAUGGUCUCACUAAGUUACUGAAGCUGUUCUUUAACUUUCAAUCCUCCUGCCUCAACCUCCCAAAUUAAUGGGAUUGAUUAUAAGCAUGUACCACUUUGCCAGCUAAAAGGCUCAAAUUUCUAACAAAUCGUGUCUGAAAAUGUCUUAAAUGUAGGACAUAUGUAAAAAAGCAACUUACAUAUUAUCAAAGUCAUUCUUGUAUUUCCAUUUCAAAUGAGAUAUUUUCUUGUUCUAAAGUUUUCUUUUCUUGGCAUUUUCAAGCAGGAUGCUUAUAUUUAGUUCUUUGAUUAUUUGGUCUUGACCGGCUGUUGCAUCUCUUUUUAAACAUUUCAAAAGUUACAUUGAUAGUUCCAAAUCCUAUGGGCAACUUGUUUUUUUCUAUUCAGACAUCCAUGGAUUGUGGAUUCCCAGACCAAACUGACAUUUCAUGGCAGUUUUCCAUCUUUGUAAAAUAUCUGCCCCUUGCUGGUAUUCACUGAGAAGUUAGCUUAGACUAGUGGGUUUCUGUAACCUGGGCUUUUGAUAUUAGGCUUGGACUGGAGUACCAACUCACAAAGGAAAGGAGCAGGUCUGAGAGGUUUAUUCACUUUCAGUGAAACAGAACUUUUCUCUUUCUGAAGGCUUUAAACAUAAAAUUAAUUUCAAAAAUACUGUAAAGAAAGUGUUUCAUUGCUUCCCAAAUCUUAUAUGUGAGUCUACAGUCUGUCCAUGGGAGAAUUUCAGCCACUGUCUUGCAGGGUUAAGCUGUACUACUUAUUGGUUUUUAAUUUUCUUCUUGGGUAGCAUAGUCCCUCCAAAGAAAAUUUCCUAAAUGACAGCACAAUGGUUUCUCCUCCAUUUCUGUGACUAACAAGUCCCAGGAAACAGACGUAGACAUAUGCUAUGCCCAAUUUAGUACCUAAUAGUUGAGGCUUAAAACAAAAUUUUCUUGGGCAAAUUGGGUGAUUAAAUAUGAAUUAAAAAUUCCAAUGAAAGAUUUCCAGAUGCCCUUGCUUUCCAUUUUGAUUACAUUUUUAUUUCUAUAUUAAUUUGGAGAAAAAUAACUUUAAGUACUUUUUUACAAGCAGCAACCUGAUAUCUUAAAAGUGGUGACAUCUCUGCAGGUGAUAUAUACAUUAUAAUUCAGGAUAAAGGUAGCUUUAAACUAAGAUAGUAUGGGAUGAAAUAAAAGCAAGCUAUGGAUAAUGGUCAUGUUUAUUGCAGUAGUACCCUGAGAACUUAAGUUUAGCGGCAUUUGAGGUGAUUCAGAUUAUCUCGCUUUUACAUCUCAACCUGCUGUGCUGAGGCAGAGGGACAAUUGUGAAUUGCCCAUUAGUGUAAUGGACAAUUCGAAACAGUUUUGGCUAUAGAUAAAACUUGCAGUUUUGUGUUUUGGCUAUAGAUAAAUUUGGCAUAAGGUUCUGUAGAUCUUUCUGAUCCAUAUUUGUCCUUAAAGACAAUUUCACCAAUCAAUAAAAUGAAUUAUUCAUUCAAAAGUAUGGUUGUUCAGUAGCGUAUGACAUUGACAUAGAAACCCAAAUGCUCCUUGUUUGAGAUUCUGCAUGCCUUGUAAGUUUGACUGAAUCAAAUGUUGUUUUCAUUAUGCUCUCAAUGGUAUUGCUUCACACGUGUAACUCUGUAACUCUGUUGUAUUAUUACUUUACUUUCAUUUCAACUCAUG
This 3707-nucleotide long non-coding RNA is filed under the name Marmota monax (woodchuck). The record is from RNAcentral. Lineage: Eukaryota; Metazoa; Chordata; Mammalia; Rodentia; Sciuridae.